This 414-nucleotide ribosomal RNA is filed under the name uncultured bacterium. RNAcentral describes it as "bacterial SSU rRNA". It matches the Rfam family "Bacterial small subunit ribosomal RNA", at positions 29 to 428 of the family's 1533-position model. The record is from RNAcentral.
AACGAACGCUGGCGGCGUGCCUAACACAUGCAAGUCGAGCGGGAAAGUGGGAGCAAUCCUGCGAGUACAGCGGCGCACGGGUGAGUAACACGUAGGUAACCUACCUCCGAAACUGGGAUAACCUGUCGAAAGAUGGGCUAAUACCGGAUAAGACCACGAGAGCUUUGGUUCUUGGGGUAAAAGGUGGCCUCUUCUUGAAAGCUACCGUUUGGGGAUGGGCCUGCGUGCCAUUAGCUAGUUGGUGGGGAAUGGCCCACCAAGGCAAAGAUGGCUAGCUGGUCUGAGAGGAUGGCCAGCCACACUGGGACUGAGACACGGCCCAGACUCCUACGGGAGGCAGCAGUGGGGAAUAUUGCGCAAUGGGCGAAAGCCUGACGCAGCGACGCCGCGUGGGUGAUGAAGGCCUGGUCGUAA